UACGUAGGGUGCAAGCGUUAAUCGGAAUUACUGGGCGUAAAGCGUGCGCAGGCGGUUUUGUAAGUCUGUCGUGAAAUCCCCGGGCUCAACCUGGGAAUGGCAUUUGGGACUGCAAGGCUGGAGUGCGGCAGAGGGGGAUGGAAUUCCGCGUGUAGCAGUGAAAUGCGUAGAUAUGCGGAGGAACACCGAUGGCGAAGGCAAUCCCCUGGGCCUGCACUGACGCUCAUGCACGAAAGCGUGGGGAGCAAACAGG
RNAcentral lists this ribosomal RNA (253 nucleotides) under uncultured bacterium. RNAcentral's name for it is "partial 16S ribosomal RNA". It matches the Rfam family "Bacterial small subunit ribosomal RNA", at positions 524 to 776 of the family's 1533-position model. The record is from RNAcentral.